CUUGUGUACAAUUUGGAAAUUAGUAUGGCGUUCAUUAUCACUGAACUAGUAUAUAUUUGUUUAGGGGCCAGCUGAGGGACGCCUCCGGGUGCGGGAAUUUCUCGCUACAUUGAAGACCUGUUGGUGACCCUCUGCUGUUGUUUUUUAUUUGGUCGGGUUGUUGUCUCUUUGACACAUUCCCCAUUUCCAUUCUUAAUUUUAUUGUACUCUAUAUCUUUUUUGUGCACCUUUAACUUUAUUUAAAUAGAGGUGUUCAAGUUCAUUUUCAAUGGUUUUAAUUUCUUUUUUUAUAAUUUGACUUGCAUUUGUCUUCUCAUUUAGCUUUCUUAAUUUUAUUUCUAGAUUUUUUAUGUCAUUUUUAUUUUCAG
RNAcentral lists this long non-coding RNA (368 nucleotides) under Mytilus galloprovincialis (Mediterranean mussel). Lineage: Eukaryota; Metazoa; Mollusca; Bivalvia; Mytilida; Mytilidae. The record is from RNAcentral.